Molecule: transfer RNA, 72 nt
Filed under: Ovis aries (sheep)
Lineage: Eukaryota; Metazoa; Chordata; Mammalia; Artiodactyla; Bovidae
Rfam family: tRNA
About the family: Transfer RNA (tRNA) molecules are approximately 80 nucleotides in length. Their secondary structure includes four short double-helical elements and three loops (D, anti-codon, and T loops).
Source: Rfam by way of RNAcentral
UCCAUGGUGGCUCAGUUGGUAAAGAAUCUGACUGAAAUGCAGGAGACCCAGCUUCAAUCCCUGGAUGUGGAA